UCUCUCUCUCUCUCCUCAUCGAAACCCUAAUCCCUUUCUCCCAUGGCGCAUUCCCAUUUCGCCCCUUUCCCUAGGGUUUCCUCUCCCAAGAUCUCUCCCCCUUUCUCAAUCGCUUAUAAGGAUUAGGGUUUUUACCGUUCUUGGGGUUUCCAAAUUUCUCAUCUUUGUCGUUGGAGGGAGAUCUUGCGAUGGCCCCGCCCCGAGAAACCUACCACCACAUCAAAGUAUCCAUCGAGAGCUCCCCCGGCCUCCCAAUAUCCACCCAGAGUACGCGAUCGAAGCUCACAACAUCCGAAGACGCUCGUCGCCGCCUCCAAGAUCAGAUCUGUGCCUUUGAGGAUCGCCUCCGCGAGGAUACCAAGCGAUUGGAGUUCUAGGCGAGUAUGAACGCGAAUGGUUUGAAGAGGUGCGUCGAGGAGGAGGAGGCUUUGGCGUCGACAUGCAAUGAUAUGGAGACUCACUCCGCUGUACGAGCAGGAUGUUAACAGGGUCGUGGAGUCGUAUGAUGAAUUGGCGAAGGAGAACGACGAUCUUCGAGCGCAUCCGCAGGAUAACUUGCAUCUGACGGCGCGAGCUUCUGAAGUAGAAUCCUUGCAGAAGGACAAGGAAAUUGUGCUGGUUACUCUCCACAAAGCGGAAGAGGAGGUGGUGGUUCUGUUUGAAGAAAACAGAUUUCUGAAUGAAGAGAACAAGACAUUGCUGCUGCUUUUGGAAAGUAAGAGGCUUCUCAGAUCGUCUGACAGCAAAAACUCUAGUAGUGCCUCAGUUAAACAUUGUCGUUCGUCGACGUACGCAGGGAAAACGUAAAGCAAGCCUCAGGGACAACAGUCCAACCGGUGGGGCGACUGAUUUUUCCUAUGCAAGUUCCUCAAGAGAGAGCCUUUGUCAUCGAAAUCUACAAUGCUGCACAAGUGAAACGGUGAUUUAAACUUGAAAGAGUCCUGCUACGGGUCUACAGGAGUGGUGGUGCCCUCAGGAAAUGUUUGAUGUGCAGGCAUGCAUGAUUUAAAGGUUUUUUAAUUGCUUGGCCCCUAAUUGGCUGGAGGCGCUGCAUGGGCUAACCAACACAUCAAAAAUCCGUAUUAGACCUUUUGUAGUUUUGUGCGAAACCCAAAACAUUUUUCCACCUGAAAAUACUGAAACAAUAGUUUCGAAAGCCAGAUCACCAUUCUUGCACCAUUUCCGACUCAUAGAUGAAUACUACUGAGUUUGUGAUGUCACUAAUAAUGGCAAGAGCACCAUUUUGGUGUUAAUAAUAGUCAUAUAAGUUCGUGAUUUAUAAUUUAAAUAAAUAUAUUAUCGUAAGAUGUUAAUGAUUAGUUGUUAUUUGUUCAAUCACUGAAUCCAUUUAAAAUAAAUCCUUCAGCUGCGCUGGUAAUGUGAAUUAAAUUUUGAUACUUUUAGUU
Molecule: RNA transcript, 1406 nt
Organism: Ananas comosus (pineapple)
Lineage: Eukaryota; Viridiplantae; Streptophyta; Magnoliopsida; Poales; Bromeliaceae
Exons: 6
Source: RefSeq, a predicted model, not a curated record